GCGUGUGCCUUUCCCUUAGGAGGUGCGAGGCAGCAAGAUGGUGGUGCAAAUUCCCAAGAAGGGGAAGUUUGUCGCUGAUGGCAUUUUCAAAGCUAAACUGAAUGAGUUUCUCACUCAGGAGCUGGCCAAAGAUGGCUACUCUGGAGUUGAGGUCCAACUGACACCAACCAGGACAGAAAUCAUUAUCUUGGCCACCAGCACACAGAAAGUUCUUGGUGAGAAGGGCCAUGAGUCUGUGAAUUGACUGCUGUGGUUCAGAAGAGGUUUGGCUUCUCUGAGAGCAGUGUAGAGCUUUAUGCCGAACAGGUGGCCACAAGAGCCCUGUGUGCCAUUGCCCAGGCAGAGUCUCUGUGUUACAAACUCCCAGGAGGGCUUGCUGUGCCGAGGGCCUACUAUGGUGUGCUGUGGUUCAUCAUGGAGAAUGGGGCCAAAGGCUGCCAGGUGUGUCUGGGAAACUCUGAGGACAGAGGGCUAAAUCCAAGAAGUUUGUGGAUGGCCUGAUGAUCCACAGUGGGGACCCUGUUGACCACUACAUUGACACCACCAUGUGCCAUAUGCAGCUCAGACAGGGUGUGCUGGGCAUCAAAGUGAAGGUCAUGCUGCCCUGGGAUCCAAGUGGUAGGACUUGCCCUAAGAAGCCCCUGCCUGACCGUGUGAGCAUUGUGGACCCAAAGAUAAGAUACUGCCCACCCUCCCCAUCUUGGAACAGAGGGGUGGGAAGCCAGAGCUGCCUGCCAUGCCCCAGCCAGAACCCACAACAUAACAGGGUCUCCUUGGCAGCUGGAUAUGGAGCCUGGAUGUUACUCUAUAAAGAUUU
Molecule: non-coding RNA, 817 nt
Organism: Ceratotherium simum simum (southern white rhinoceros)
Lineage: Eukaryota; Metazoa; Chordata; Mammalia; Perissodactyla; Rhinocerotidae
Source: RefSeq, a predicted model, not a curated record